RNAcentral lists this ribosomal RNA (484 nucleotides) under uncultured bacterium. Its description in RNAcentral is "partial 16S ribosomal RNA". It matches the Rfam family "Bacterial small subunit ribosomal RNA", at positions 29 to 507 of the family's 1533-position model. The record is from RNAcentral.
AUUGAACGCUGGCGGCAUGCUUUACACAUGCAAGUCGAACGGCAGCGCGGGCUUCGCCCUGGCGGCGAGUGGCGAACUGGUGAGUAAUGCAUCGGAACGUGCCCAGUUGUUGGGGAUAGCCCGGCGAAAGCCGGAUUAAUACCGCAUACGACCUGAGGGUGAAAGCGGGGGACCAAAAGGCCUCGCGCCAUUGGAGCGGCCGAUGUCGGAUUAGCUAGUUGGUGGGGUAAAGGCUUACCAAGGCGACGAUCCGUAGCUGGUCUGAGAGGACGACCAGCCACACUGGGACUGAGACACGGCCCAGACUCCUACGGGAGGCAGCAGUGGGGAAUUUUGGACAAUGGGGGCAACCCUGAUCCAGCCAUGCCGCGUGCGGGAAGAAGGCCUUCGGGUUGUAAACCGCUUUUGUUCGGGAAGAAAUCCUCUGGGCUAAUACCCCGGGGGGAUGACGGUACCGGAAGAAUAAGCACCGGCUAACUACGUG